Molecule: ribosomal RNA, 315 nt
Filed under: uncultured bacterium
Lineage: Bacteria
Description: bacterial SSU rRNA
Rfam family: Bacterial small subunit ribosomal RNA
Source: RNAcentral
GAGUUUGAUCCUGGCUCAGGAUGAACGCUGGCGGCGUGCUUAACACAUGCAAGUCGAGCGAAGCGGUUUCAAUGAAGUUUUCGGAUGGAUUUGAGAUUGACUUAGCGGCGGACGGGUGAGUAACGCGUGGGUAACCUGCCUUACACUGGGGGAUAACAGUUAGAAAUGGCUGCUAAUACCGCAUAAGCGCACAGUGCCGCAUGGUACGGUGUGAAAAACUCCGGUGGUGUGAGAUGGAUCCGCGUCUGAUUAGCCAGUUGGCGGGUAACGGCCCACCAAAGCGACGAUCAGUAGCCGACCUGAGAGGGUGACCGG